Molecule: ribosomal RNA, 412 nt
Filed under: Symploca hydnoides LC5
Lineage: Bacteria; Bacillati; Cyanobacteriota; Cyanophyceae; Coleofasciculales; Coleofasciculaceae
Description: bacterial SSU rRNA
Rfam family: Bacterial small subunit ribosomal RNA
Source: RNAcentral
GAAGAGCUCGCGUCUGAUUAGCUAGUUGGUGGGGUAAAGGCUUACCAAGGCGGCGAUCAGUAGCUGGUCUGAGAGGACGAUCAGCCACACUGGGACUGAGACACGGCCCAGACUCCUACGGGAGGCAGCAGUGGGGAAUUUUCCGCAAUGGGCGAAAGCCUGACGGAGCAAUACCGCGUGAGGGAGGAAGGCUCUUGGGUCGUAAACCUCUUUUGUCAGGGAAGAAAACAAUGACGGUACCUGACGAAUCAGCAUCGGCUAACUCCGUGCCAGCAGCCGCGGUAAUACGGAGGAUGCAAGCGUUAUCCGGAAUUAUUGGGCGUAAAGCGUCCGCAGGUGGCUCUUCAAGUCUGCCGUUAAAGGCCAGGGCUCAACUCUGGUUAGGCGGUGGAAACUGUAGAGCUAGAGUGCA